CUAAAUUAAAGUAUAAUAUCAACACUAGAUGGACACAAAUCGAUCUUGCAAGAAAAUCAAUUUUGUCAUCAAUAGGAUCAACUAGUGUUGGUACUUAUGCUUAACAAACACAUUAUUCCUAAAUUAAAGCUUAAUAUCAACACUAGAUGGACACAAAUCGAUCUUGCAAGAAAAUCAAUUUUGUCAUCAAUAGGAUCAACUAGUGUUGGUACUUAUGCUUAACAAACACAUUAUUCCUAAAUUAAAGCUUAAUAUCAACACUAGAUGGACACAAAUCGAUCUUGCAAGAAAAUCAAUUUUGUCAUCAAUAGGAUCAACUAGUGUUGGUACUUAUGCUUAACAAACACAUUAUUCCUAAAUUAAAGCUUAAUAUCAACACUAGAUGGACACAAAUCGAUCUUGCAAGAAAAUCAAUUUUGUCAUCAAUAGGAUCAACUAGUGUUGGUACUUGUGCUAAACAAACACUCGAUGAACACAAACAAAUUAUUACAAAAUUAAAGGUAAGUACCAAUACUAGAUGGACACAAACACAUUAUAAAAAACAAUUGUACUUGAACUUUAGUAAUUUAGAAACACCAAACCUUAUCUCUUACUUUGAUGAAAAAAGUAGUAUAGUCUUGUAUCAACUCUUUUAGAUGUUGAGCCUCCUCAGUUGCCUAGCAAGAAAAGAAACAAUUGAAAAUUUCUUUAGUGGUCAUCCAAGUCCUUGCACCAUGAAAAUUUCAAAUUAAAGUUACUUGACAAUCAUAUCCUUUUCACUACCACCGGUACUUGGUUCCCAAAUUGUCCAAAGAUGGCCAACUGUUAAAGCUUUAAAGCAAACAUGUU
RNAcentral lists this long non-coding RNA (828 nucleotides) under Solanum tuberosum (potato). RNAcentral's name for it is "long non-coding RNA (STUB_LNC005838)". Lineage: Eukaryota; Viridiplantae; Streptophyta; Magnoliopsida; Solanales; Solanaceae. The record is from RNAcentral.